AAUUUUCCGCAAUGAGCGAAAGCUUGACGGAGCAAUGCCGCGUGAAGGAUGAAGGCCUGCGGGUUGUAAACUUCUUUUCUUAGAAAAGAUAAUGACGGUAUCUAAGGAAUAAGCAUUGGCUAAAUAUGUGCCAGCAGCCGCGGUAAUACAUAUAAUGCAAGUGUUAUCCGGAAUGAUUGGGCGUAAAGCGUCUGUAGGUGGUUUUAAAAGUCUAUUGUUAAAGACUAAGGCUUAACCUUAGAACAGCAAUGGAAACUUUAAAACUAGAGUACGGUAGAGGUAGAGGGAAUUACCGGUGUAACGGUGAAAUGUGCAGAUAUCGGUAAGAACACCAACGGCGAAAGCACUCUACUGGGCCGAAACUGACACUCAGAGACGAAAGCUAGGGGAGCGAAUAGGAUUAGAUACCCUAGUAGUCCUAGCUGUA
RNAcentral lists this ribosomal RNA (427 nucleotides) under uncultured marine bacterium. RNAcentral's name for it is "bacterial SSU rRNA". It matches the Rfam family "Bacterial small subunit ribosomal RNA", at positions 360 to 804 of the family's 1533-position model. The record is from RNAcentral.